RNAcentral lists this ribosomal RNA (427 nucleotides) under uncultured bacterium. Its description in RNAcentral is "partial 16S ribosomal RNA". It matches the Rfam family "Bacterial small subunit ribosomal RNA", at positions 355 to 774 of the family's 1533-position model. The record is from RNAcentral.
UGGGGAAUAUUGCACAAUGGGCGCAAGCCUGAUGCAGCCAUGCCGCGUGUAUGAAGAAGGCCUUCGGGUUGUAAAGUACUUUCAGCGGGGAGGAAGGCGAUAAGGUUAAUAACCUUGUCGAUUGACGUUACCCGCAGAAGAAGCACCGGCUAACUCCGUGCCAGCAGCCGCGGUAAUACGGAGGGUGCAAGCGUUAAUCGGAAUUACUGGGCGUAAAGCGCACGCAGGCGGUCUGUCAAGUCGGAUGUGAAAUCCUCGGGCUCAACCUGGGAACUGCAUUCGAAACUGGCAGGCUUGAGUCUUGUAGAGGGGGGUAGAAUUCCAGGUGUAGCGGUGAAAUGCGUAGAGAUCUGGAGGAAUACCGGUGGCGAAGGCGGCCCCCUGGACAAAGACUGACGCUCAGGUGCGAAAGCGUGGGGAGCAAACA